RNAcentral lists this unclassified non-coding RNA (247 nucleotides) under Hevea brasiliensis (rubber tree). The record is from RNAcentral. Lineage: Eukaryota; Viridiplantae; Streptophyta; Magnoliopsida; Malpighiales; Euphorbiaceae.
GUGCAAACAAUCAGUUUGGACCCAAACUUAAUCGAAUUAACCGAAUAUCCGAAAUGCUAAAAUUUGAGAUCUGAACUGAAGUUAUGGAUAGAACCAAACUGAACCGACUAAUUCAGUUCGGUUUGGUUUUUCAGUUUUCACCCUGUACAGCAAGCCUAUUCAGCCCUUAAACAAAUUAUUAAUCACAUAAACCCAUCAAUGUUUUUGUUAAGAAAUCAAAGUGUGUGGUUGAGAGGGUGGAGCUGUG